Long non-coding RNA from Bos taurus (domestic cattle), 476 nucleotides. The record is from Ensembl. Lineage: Eukaryota; Metazoa; Chordata; Mammalia; Artiodactyla; Bovidae.
GAUCCUCUCAACAGUCCUGUAAGGCAGGUAUAACAAGAAUUAGAAUUAACUUCAUUUUAUAUGUGAGGACGCUGAGGAAGCUACAUGACUUGCUCAUGGUCAUCCUGCAAGUGGGGUUCAGCCAGAUCUUGAACCCCAAGUUGCUGACCCCAGGUCUGUCUCUGUGUUAUUAGCAUCAGGGCUGGGGUCGGGUCUGAGAACGUGCAUUCCAGGUGAUACUGAUGCUGCUGAACGAGAGAACACAUUUUGAGAACCAGUUGUCUACAGGAUAUGAAACAACAGAAAAGUCAACUGCAUUGGCCAGCUAAUUGCUACAUUUCAUCCAUUUUAUUUCAAUCUGGGAAAAUGGGUGACCUUCAAACAACGAGGCCAUGACGCUGCAGAAAAAUCCUCCAGAGUCACCAUCCCUCUGGGGGACAACUGUGAAGCUUGUUCAAAUGACUCCUCAGAGGGGCCCUAGUGAGACUGAGCCCCAG